GUGGUGGCACAAAAUCGGAGGCCCCGACUGUUUACUAAAAACACAACACAGUGCAAUCAUUAAUAUGAUAGUAUACUGUGUGAAAUUUGCCCGAUGCCAUUAAUAUAAGAGCGGUUAUGGGUAACUGUGACUAAUCGAAAAUCUGGUUAAUAGCGGUCUUAACUAUGAGGAUCCUAAGGUAGCAAAAUAAGUUGGCCAUUAAAUGUGGUCCGGUAUCAAUAAUGUAACGAUGGCCUCACUGUCUCUACAACUUGCUCAGUGAAAUUGAAUUACACGUGCAGAUGCGUGUUGCCUCCAGGGGGACGGGAAGACCCUAUGCAGCUUCUA
Molecule: ribosomal RNA, 327 nt
Filed under: Tricholomatoid fungal sp. MhyVT
Lineage: Eukaryota; Fungi; Basidiomycota; Agaricomycetes; Agaricales; Tricholomataceae
Description: LSU rRNA
Rfam family: Bacterial large subunit ribosomal RNA
Source: RNAcentral